Bradysia coprophila is the source of this 769-nucleotide long non-coding RNA. Lineage: Eukaryota; Metazoa; Arthropoda; Insecta; Diptera; Sciaridae. The record is from RefSeq and is a predicted model, not a curated record.
CUAUGUUGUAUCGCCGCUAUUCGGCUAUGGGCUGAUGGUGUGUGUUUGAUUCGGUUCGGUGUGUGAGUGGAAGUUUGUCAAUGUGUUGGUCAUGCAGUAUGUAUCAGUGGAUAACAUGUGUUGGCCCCCCAACAAAGUGUUGGGUUAGUGGAGUACAUAAACGAAAUAAACACAAACCUGCAUGCGGCAUACAUAAUUUAUAAUGGGCCAUUAUAGGCCAUUCAUUGGAAUAAUUUAUUAGCGCUUCACGUACUGUACUACAGUUCUAUGUCGUCUGCAGCGUAGAUUAGCUUUGGACAUUAUAUACAAUGUUGUCGCGUGUAUGACAACAUUUAUGGUAAAACUAUUGAAGUAAAAGAUUUUGAGACCAUUUGUAAAGACAAAUAGGAAAUUCGAUAAUUAUACGGGUUUGCUGUCUAUGAAAGAGUUUCAUAAAAUUUGGCUUUAGAUCAUGAGUCCAAUGCAAUCCUCAAUCGUUGACAAUACGGAAACUAGCGAAUGAUUUUAUGUUCAAAAGAAAAUUACCUCGAAAAUUGUCAACUGAAGAAUUAUCACGGCUCUUUUGGAUCCUUCCUGAAAUCAAUACCAGACGCAAAAUCACAAUAAGUUUGACUUUUCACAUUUUCUUUAUUUAUUCAGUCUAAGCCUAGGUUCUAUUAUGUAGAUGGUAAAAAAUAAAAUAAACAUUCGUUUAAGUGGAUAAAAACAAACGAUGAUAAUCAUUGGCACCAAAAGCACAGUUGCAUUUCGGGCAUUUACGCUGGCGUGU